This 70-nucleotide transfer RNA is filed under the name Eleutherodactylus pipilans (whistling chirping frog). RNAcentral describes it as "tRNA-Trp". It matches the Rfam family "tRNA". Rfam says of the family: Transfer RNA (tRNA) molecules are approximately 80 nucleotides in length. Their secondary structure includes four short double-helical elements and three loops (D, anti-codon, and T loops). The record is from RNAcentral. Lineage: Eukaryota; Metazoa; Chordata; Amphibia; Anura; Eleutherodactylidae.
AGAAAUUUAGGAUAACCUUAAACCAAGAGCCUUCAAAACUCCUAAUAGAAGUUAAAAUCUUCUAAUUUCU